RNAcentral lists this unclassified non-coding RNA (1267 nucleotides) under Cimex lectularius (bed bug). RNAcentral's name for it is "syntaxin-7, transcript variant X2". The record is from RNAcentral. Lineage: Eukaryota; Metazoa; Arthropoda; Insecta; Hemiptera; Cimicidae.
GGGGGAAAAGUUUUAUCAAGGUUGCAUGAGUCAUGUGACUUGCUCAGUUUUAUUUUUUUUAUAUAUCAACCUCCGGGCUCCGAUGCUCGGUACUUAACGCAGUGCAUAGGAGGUUGUAAGCUUUUAAUGUUGCAAUCGUAACUACCAAGUUCCACAUAUUUUAAAACAUACGAGAUGAUCAUCAAUGACUGAUCUACUGACAAGUACCACUAACUGCUUGUCAUACUUGAUAUUUACUGAUUGAAAGGAGGCGUACAACUGAAAGGCACACCUGUAAAACUUACAGUAUGGAUAGGAUGUCAGGGUUUGUCCCAACGAAUUACGGUUCUACCGCAGAAAGGGUCCCAGAGGUCGGAUUUUCCGGUGGCGGCAGUAUAUACGACCAAAAGGAAGCAGACGCCCUCGCGGAAAAUGUGAGCAAAAUCAUUUACAGCAUUAACACCGAGAGGAUGAGCUUGGAGAAGUCUGUCAAAUUCAUCGGAACGCCCAAAGAUUCACAGGAACUCAGGGAAAAGAUGCAAAACACUUUAGUGAGUAUUAAUGAUAAAGUAAAACGAGUUACUUUGGAUAUAAAACUGUUGAAAGAAAAAAUGAGAAAGGGAGGAUGGCAACAAAAACUCCAGAUUCAAAAAAUCACAGAAACGUUUCAAGAAUCGAUACAAAUGUGCAAACCAGUAGAAGAGCUUGUAGUUGCGAAAAUGCGAUGUCACAUGUUACUCUCAGAGUUGGCAAUAUUAGAGCAAAAUCAAGAAAGGUUUUCUGAUUCUGAUCAGCUAACCACAUCGGAAAUGAGACAGGUGACAGAAGCCAUAGAGUUUGAAACAGGAUUGCUCAAAGAAAGAGAAGAGAAAAUGGCAAAGAUAGCCAACACAAUAAUCGAUAUUAAUCAGAUUAUGAAGGAAUUGGGAGCGCAGGUUCAUAAUCAAGGAGAGGAUAUUGAUAGGAUAGAAAAUGCUAUUGAAGAUGUACAUGUUCAUGUGACAGCAGCCAAUGAAGAAUUAGAAAAAGCCUCAACUUAUCAGAUAUUGUUUUUUCCAGAUCAAUCUUACAGGGAUGACCAAUUCAGUCGAAGAUACAAAAGAGGAUGUUGCAUUCGUUAAGAAUGACGAUUCUGACAUUCCAAAUUGUAAUUUUAACAAUAACAAUGACAUUAAAGACAAUAGGAGGUUAGAAACUGGAAGGAGAAAAACAGUAUGCAUUCUUCUUGCAUUAUCUCUCAUAAUUGGUGUCAUCCUUACAACCAUCAUAGUUGUCACCCUUCGUGAUA